This 341-nucleotide unclassified non-coding RNA is filed under the name uncultured fungus. RNAcentral's name for it is "sequence contains ITS1". The stretch from base 1 to 105 matches the Rfam family "5.8S ribosomal RNA", at positions 50 to 154 of the family's 154-position model. Lineage: Eukaryota; Fungi. The record is from RNAcentral.
GAAAUGCGAUAAGUAAUGUGAAUUGCAGAAUUCAGUGAAUCAUCGAAUCUUUGAACGCACCUUGCGCUCUCUGGUAUUCCGGGGAGCAUGCCUGUUUGAGAAUCGCAAAGCAACACAAAUCACAUUCAUUUUUUUUUGGGUGUGGAAUUGGGCCGAAUUCCUCUUUUCAGAUUUUUUUGAAGGGAGAGGAUGGCUUGAAAUCUAGAAGGCCGGCUUGGGUAAAACCAAGCGGAUCAGGACCGAAUUUUUACUCCCAGAGCAAUAAUAGUUAAUGCGUUUUUGCGCGUUAUCCCUUUUUGCCCCGGGGUUGGCCCUGAACUUUUUAGGCCUCACACUUUUUU